This 75-nucleotide transfer RNA is filed under the name Dialister histaminiformans. RNAcentral's name for it is "tRNA-Glu". It matches the Rfam family "tRNA". Rfam says of the family: Transfer RNA (tRNA) molecules are approximately 80 nucleotides in length. Their secondary structure includes four short double-helical elements and three loops (D, anti-codon, and T loops). Further hydrogen bonds mediate the characteristic L-shaped molecular structure. tRNAs have two regions of fundamental functional importance: the anti-codon, which is responsible for specific mRNA codon recognition, and the 3' end, to which the tRNAs corresponding amino acid is attached (by aminoacyl-tRNA synthetases). tRNAs cope with the degeneracy of the genetic code in two manners: having more than one tRNA (with a specific anti-codon) for a particular amino acid; and 'wobble' base-pairing, i.e. permitting non-standard base-pairing at the 3rd anti-codon position. The record is from RNAcentral. RNAcentral also lists the same sequence under 1 other name. Lineage: Bacteria; Bacillati; Bacillota; Negativicutes; Veillonellales; Veillonellaceae.
GGCCCGUUCGUCAAGUGGUUAAGACACCGCCCUUUCACGGCGGGUUCGCGAGUUCGAAUCUCGCACGGGUCACCA